GGCUUAUUAAAACACCUCACCGAAGGCUAUUUCAAUGUUCUUAUGUGUGGACAUUUACAUCUUUUAUAAACUUGCGAAUAGGUGCAUUUACAUGUGUUGGCUCUCCAGGAGAACCACGGCAAAUGUAUUCAAGAUUCAUACUGGCUUGCUUUGCAAAUAGUCUACAAUUUGGACAACAGGAUUUAAGAAAGCCCCAGGUCUGUGUUCCAAUUUUCAUGUCCAUUAACUGUCAGUACUGGGAAGAGGAAGGCAGAAAUCACUCCUACUCAAUGGAGAAGCCAUUUUUUAAAUUUUUCCUUCUUCAAUGUCCCCAGCUUAUGAUAGUCCAUUUGCCCAGCAUAGGCUAUUGGUAUUUCAGUGCUUUAUCUAGUUGUUGUAUAUGUUUCCCUCUCCUUAUUCACUCACCUCUUUCAUAGCUAAGAACUGUGACGGUUUCUCUACAACAUGAGGUAAGUCAAACCCAAUGUAUUUUUAUACACAGGUGGCUCAAGAGCUUUCUUCUUGGAAACGGUAUUCCAGAAAAGCCAUUGUGUUCUGGUUGACAGUCAUUUUAGCUCUG
This 559-nucleotide long non-coding RNA is filed under the name Homo sapiens (human). RNAcentral's name for it is "HSALNT0232280". Lineage: Eukaryota; Metazoa; Chordata; Mammalia; Primates; Hominidae. The record is from RNAcentral.